Molecule: non-coding RNA, 1076 nt
Filed under: Lottia gigantea (owl limpet)
Lineage: Eukaryota; Metazoa; Mollusca; Gastropoda; Lottiidae
Description: Eukaryotic small subunit ribosomal RNA
Rfam family: Eukaryotic small subunit ribosomal RNA
Source: Rfam by way of RNAcentral
UCGUUUUCUCCUUCACGGGAGAGAACCCGCCGCAUUUUCUGUCUACCUUGAAAAAAUUAGAGUGCUAAAGGCAGGCUAAAACCCCGAGCCUGAAUAUUUCGUGCAUGGAAUAAGCGGGGAUGCUCUUUUCCGGAGGGCGGUCCGACCGACUGGCGACGUCGCUUUCGCUGUCGGUUUCGCCGGAGAGCUAGGAUUCGAGAGGAACGGUGGGGGGCGAGCGUACCGGGCGGGGAGAGGUGAAAUUUUGUGAUCCGCUCGGGACGACUCGAAGCGAAAGCGCUGGCNCCGGACGUCUUCCUUAAUCCAGAACGAAGGUGGGUGGAGCAAAGACGAUCAGAUACCGUCGUAGUACCGACGGUAAACGCUGCCGACCGGGCCGCGGACGAGGCUCGAGAACAGCGGUUAUGGACCCGUCCGUGGCGGCUUCGGGCAACCUGAGAGUUUACGGGUUCCGGGGGUAGUAUGGUCGCAAGGCUGAAACUUGAAGGAAUUGACGGAAGGGCACCACAAGGAGUGGAGCCUGCGGCUUAAUUUGACUCAACACGGGGCAACUUACCCGGUCCGGACAUCGUCAGGAUUGACAGACGCUCGUGCAGUUCUUUCUCGAUUCGAUGGGUGGUGGUGCAUGGCCGUUCGUGGCUGGUGAAGUGAAAAGUCUGGUUUAUUCCGCUAACGGGCGAGGCCUCGCCCUUAACUAGUCGGCUCGUGGUUCUCGAAUCGUAGUCUCCCUUCGGGGAGCAGGGAGAACAUCGGGCGAGUCGCAGCGAUCGUCGCUACUUCUUAGGGGGAUCCCGAGCAAGCUUAAGCUAGGUGAGAGAGAUCAAUAACAGGUCAGUGAUGCCCUUAGAUGUCCGGGGCCGCACGCGCGCUACACUGAAGACGAAAGCGCGAGUGCCUACGGUCUUGGUUUGGUCAGGCCGGGAACCCGCCCCGAGAGGGGAGGUUGGGGCUGUUCCUUCACGGGGGCAGUCUCGCCUACUGCGGGUUAACCGUGCCAAUCGUCUUCGUGCUGGGGAUCGGGGCUUGCAACUCAGCCCCGGAACGAGGAAUUCCGAGUAGGCGUCCGUCAUCAGCGG